UUGACUUUUGACCAAAUCGAACGAAAUUUGUGAUAUUUUUCUAAUAAUUUAAAAAAAUAGAAAUUUUGCAAAUCUUAAAAUGUUCCUAAUACCAAAUAACAAGUGAAUUUGAGUGAAAUUUUAUAACGGUAAAUGGAAUUCAAUAAAAAGGAAUCAUAUUAUUAAUAAGUUAAAUCAAAAAAAUGUUUUAGAAAAAAUUGCAAAAAAAAGUGACAAAAAAAUCCUAGAUUGUCUCGCAAUUAGAAAUUUAUGGUGUCGCGUAUUUGUGGUUCGUUUGAUGUCGUUGUGUUUUGUCGAUGGAGUCAGUCGGUAACGGUUUAUUGUGUUAUAGUAUUCGUAUAUUGUCAUUGUUGUUCUUGCUGAAAAAAAUACACUCACAUAAAAAGGAAACGACAACAAAAAUAAAGGGAAUUUGUUUGUUUACAUCUCUUUUAUAUGUAUAAAAAUGUGUAAAUUGUUGAUGUGAUUUACUACUACAACAACAAAAAACUUAAGUUUGAUUACAACAACUUUACGAGAGUACUACAUAUAUAUAUAAGUGAUGUCUACGACAGACAUAUAUAAAAUAUUCGUCUCCAUAAUAGUUGUAGUAGUAGUAAAUAAGUAAAGUGAGAAAAUUUUAAUUAUUCGUAAUGCCAAGUGUUUGUGUGCAAAAUAUGUAAUUGAGUAAAUGACUACAAGUUGCAAGCAACCUGUGCAACGUCCAGCUUCAUCAUCACAAUAACGUAGUAAUAUUAUUUAACGAGUAGUGUAACCUUGUCAGAUGCAUAUUAAAUGAUAUUUUAUUUCAUAUGAAUUUUCUUACAUAUAUACAUGCAACACACAUGUGCUUACAUAUACUACAUAUUUAUAUAAAAUAGCACUUGCAUUUAGACAGACGGAGAGACAUACAAAUAGACAUUUACUAAAAUGUAUUGUUGCACUCUGAAGAUGACUUAAGUUGUUGUUGCUGUUCGAUAUUCAACAGGUUCUGGAAAAUGGUAAUUAAGUGGUAAAGUACUCAAUCAACAUAAGAUUUUCAUAUUGAAUUUUUAAAAAUGUAUAUUUUCC
Molecule: long non-coding RNA, 1050 nt
Organism: Lucilia cuprina (Australian sheep blowfly)
Lineage: Eukaryota; Metazoa; Arthropoda; Insecta; Diptera; Calliphoridae
Exons: 3
Source: RefSeq, a predicted model, not a curated record